This 341-nucleotide unclassified non-coding RNA is filed under the name soil metagenome. Its description in RNAcentral is "partial contains 5.8S ribosomal RNA, internal transcribed spacer 2, and large subunit ribosomal RNA". The stretch from base 1 to 120 matches the Rfam family "5.8S ribosomal RNA", at positions 35 to 154 of the family's 154-position model. The record is from RNAcentral.
GAUGAAGAACGUAGCGAAAUGCGAUAAGUAAUGUGAAUUGCAGAAUUCAGUGAAUCAUCGAAUCUUUGAACGCACAUUGCGCCCGCUAGUAUUCUGGCGGGCAUGCCUGUCCGAGCGUCAUUUCAACCCUCAAGCCCCCGGGCUUGGUGUUGGGGAUCGGCGAGCCUCCGCGCCCGCCGUCCCCUAAAUCUAGUGGCGGUCUCGCUGUAGCUUCCUCUGCGUAGUAGCACACCUCGCACUGGGAAACAGCGCGGCCACGCCGUUAAACCCCCAACUUCUGAACGUUUGACCUCGGAUCAGGUAGGAAUACCCGCUGAACUUAAGCAUAUCAAAGCGGAGGA